AGUGAACGCUGGCGGCAGGCCUAACACAUGCAAGUCGAACGGAAACACAGUAAGCUCUCGCCUCUACCGGUGGCGACGGGCGGAUGGGUGAGGCAUGGAUAGGAUACUACUUUUUCGUGGGGGAUUACGUAGGGCAGGAUACGCUAAUAGCGCAUACGACCUACGGGUUAAAGCAGUAGAUCAUCACGCCUUUGGCGUCAGUUAUAGCCGAUGCCGCAUUAGCUAGUUGGCAGGGUAAAGGCACACCAAGGCGACGAUCCGUAGCUGAUCUGAGAGGAUGAUCGGCCACACUGGAACUGAGACACGGUCCAGACUCCUACGGGAGGCAGCAGUGGGGAAUAUUGGACAAUGGGCGCAAGCCUGAUCCAGCCAUGCCGCGUGGGUGAUGAAGGCCUUCGGGUUGUAAAACCCUUUUGCUAGGGAAGAAAAGCUGCAGAUUUAUACCCCGCUGUUCUGACGGUACCCAAAGAAUAAGCACCGGCUAACUUCGUG
This 492-nucleotide ribosomal RNA is filed under the name uncultured bacterium. Its description in RNAcentral is "partial 16S ribosomal RNA". It matches the Rfam family "Bacterial small subunit ribosomal RNA", at positions 29 to 507 of the family's 1533-position model. The record is from RNAcentral.